Molecule: ribosomal RNA, 2204 nt
Filed under: Eugerda sp. VTDes169
Lineage: Eukaryota; Metazoa; Arthropoda; Malacostraca; Isopoda; Desmosomatidae
Description: bacterial SSU rRNA
Rfam family: Eukaryotic small subunit ribosomal RNA
Source: RNAcentral
UCCUGCCAGUCAUAUGCUUGUCUCAAAGAUUAAGCCAUGCAUGUCUGAGUACAGACCGAUCUAAGGUGAAACCGCGAAUGGCUCAUUAAAUCAGUCAUAAUUUCUUGGAUAGUGAUAAACUUUCCUCGGAUAACUGUGGAAAAUCCAGAGCUAAUACGUGCAACUGAGCUCCGACCUCGACGCGAGUCUUGGGAAGAGCGCAUUUAUUAGAUUCAAAACUGACCGGUGUACUCCUUCGGGAUACGCCGUUUGUCAAAAUGUUUGAUGACUCCGGAUAACUUAGCCGAGCGCUACGGUCUUUAGUACCGGCGCCGUAUCUUUCAAGUGUCUGCCUUAUCAGCUUUCGAUUGUAGGUUAAACGCCUACAAUGGCUGUAACGGGUAACGGGGAAUCAGGGUUCGAUUCCGGAGAGGGAGCCUGAGAAACGGCUACCACAUCUAAGGAAGGCAGCAGGCACGCAAAUUACCCACUCCCAGCCCGGGGAGGUAGUGACGAAAAAUAACGAUGCGAGACUCUUCCGAGGCCUCGCAAUCGGAAUGAGUCCAUUUUAAAUCCUUGGACGAGGAUCCAUUGGAGGGCAAGUCUGGUGCCAGCAGCCGCGGUAAUUCCAGCUCCAAUAGCGUAUAUUAAAGUUGCUGCGGUUAAAAAGCUCGUAGUUGGAUUUCCUUAAUCCAAUUCGUGGGUGAGUCGCUCUUAGUAUUAGCGCCACGUGCAGUUCCUUGAUGACGUUGUAGUUUUCAUCGUCGCGCGCGUUCUUCUUCUCGUUCUUCUUCUUCUUAUUCUACUCUUCCUCUCUUUGGGCUGCUUCAACGCGGUCCAUCGAAGGUCGAUGUUAGAGCGAGAUAGAGAGAAAGAGAGAGGUUCCUCCGCCGGCGGCGUAACUGCAUCAGAAACUCGUGGACGGCGAGGUGUUGUCUUUGAGUAUAGCUCGUCCGCGUUUGGUACAAUUACAAUUUUGUCGGCUCGCUCGGAGUGCUCUUUACCGAGUGUUCCAGGGUGGCUGACACGUUCACUUUGAAAAAAUUAGAGUGCUUAAAGCGGGCUUAUUUACGGCCUGAAUGUCUGUGCAUGGAAUGAAGUAACAGGACCUCGAUUCUGUUGUUUUUGUCGGUUUUAUUGAACCGAGGUAAUGAUUAAAAGGGACAGACGGUGGCAUUAGUAUUGCGACGCUAGAGGUGAAAUUCUUGGACCGUCGCAAGACUAACUACUGCGAAAGCAUUUGCCGAGAAUGUUUUCAUUAAUCAAGAACGAAAGUUAGAGGAUCGAAGGCGAUCAGAUACCGCCCUAGUUCUAACCCUAAACUAUGCUAACUAGCGAUCCGCCGGAGUCAUUCCCACGACUCGGCGGGAAGCCCCAGGGAAACCAAAGUCUUUGAGUUCCGGGGGAAGUAUGGUUGCAAAGCUGAAACUUAAAGGAAUUGACGGAAGGGCACCACCAGGAGUGGAGCCUGCGGCUUAAUUUGACUCAACACGGGAAACCUCACCAGGCCCGGACAUCAUAAGGAUUGACAGGUUGAGAGCUCUUUCUCGAUUUGAUGGGUGGUGGUGCAUGGCCGUUCUUAGUUGGUGGAGUGAUCUGUCUGGUUGAUUCCGAUAACGAACGAGACUCUACCCUACUAACUAGUCGGCGGAUCGUAACCCUGAGAUGGUUAGUUUGUAUAGGAGAGUUUUUGCCGAGAUGGCCUCUCUGCGCGAGAUCGCUAGUGCGGUAGUGGGAGCGGCGUCGGCAUUGUUUUCGUCGUCGUUCUUUUCUGCUGUUGCUGGUGGUUUACCGCUGAUACCGUCGAAGCGGCUUUCCGAUUACUACUACUGCUGGGGGCGUCUGUCGUAAUAUAUCUUCUUAGAGGGAUCAGCGGCGUAUAGCCGCACGAGAAAGAGCAAUAACAGGUCUGUGAUGCCCUUAGAUGUUCUGGGCCGCACGCGCGCUACAAUGUAGGGCUCAGCGUGCUUUCCCUCUCCGAAAGGAGAUGGGUAACCCGUUGAAACCCCUACCCGAUUGGGAUUGGGGAUUGCAAUUAUUUCCCAUAAACGAGGAAUUCCCAGUAAGCGCGAAUCAUUAAUUCGCGCUGAUUACGUCCCUGCCCUUUGUACACACCGCCCGUCGCUACUACCGAUUGAAUGAUUCAGUGAGGGCAUCGGACUGGCCCUUCGGUUUAGUUACCUAGACCUUAGGCUGACGGAAAGAUGUCCGAACUUGAUCAUUAG